GGCGAACGCUGGCGGCGUGCUUAACACAUGCAAGUCGAACGGUGAAGCGCCUUCCUUUUUGGUGGGUGUGGAUGAGUGGCGAACGGGUGAGUAACACGUGAGUAACCUGCCCCCUUCUUCUGGAUAACCGCAUGAAAGUGUGGCUAAUACGGGAUAUUCUGGGUCUGUCGCAUGAUGGGUCUGGGAAAGAUAUUGUUUCGGUGGGGGAUGGGCUCGCGGCCUAUCAGCUUGUUGGUGGGGUGAUGGCCUACCAAGGCGGGGACGGGUAGCCGGCCUGAGAGGGUGGACGGUCACACUGGGACUGAGACACGGCCCAGACUCCUACGGGAGGCAGCAGUGGGGAAUAUUGCACAAUGGGCGCAAGCCUGAUGCAGCGACGCCGCGUGAGGGAUGGAGGCCUUCGGGUUGUGAACCUCUUUCGCCAGUGAAGCAGGCCUGCCUCGUUUGUGGGUGGGUUGACGGUAGCUGGAUAAGAAGCGCCGGCUAACUACGUG
This 494-nucleotide ribosomal RNA is filed under the name uncultured bacterium. Its description in RNAcentral is "partial 16S ribosomal RNA". It matches the Rfam family "Bacterial small subunit ribosomal RNA", at positions 28 to 507 of the family's 1533-position model. The record is from RNAcentral.